UUGUCCACGGUUGCAUUGUGUUGGUCUUUGUAGCGUGUGAACAAAGCAGCACUGUGCAACUGUGUAGAUG
Molecule: non-coding RNA, 70 nt
Organism: Branchiostoma floridae (Florida lancelet)
Lineage: Eukaryota; Metazoa; Chordata; Leptocardii; Amphioxiformes; Branchiostomatidae
Source: Rfam